UUUAAAAUGUGUUCUCAGAAUGCAGGAAAUGCUAUUUCAGAGACCCAAAUUUUAAAAAUUUCCUGGGGGCAGGCAUGCCACCAGACCCCCCUCCUAGCUAACUCGUGCCUGCGAUAGCUCGGGUCACACCUUCGGCGAUUGCAUACUAUCCUGGGAAAGGGCAAGGAGAGAAUGGGCCCUUUGGCAGUUUUGCCCUACCACUGAAGAAUCCUUAAAAAAUGCACUGACUGAAAAAACCCUUUAUUCUUUUUUAUUUUUAAGCCGAUUAUUCUUUCCUCUCAAAAUUAUGGUUAAAACCAACUUGUACUAUUUUCAUCUAAUAUAUUAUAUCACACCCGCAUUAUCUAAAAACGCCUGAUUACUUUACUGAUCACAGAAUAUUACGUUACUAAAUAAAAAACUGAGCGUUGCGUUAGGGUGGAAUACCACCAUAAGCGUGCAUGAGGAUGAGAGGUGUAAUCGCGUUUCGGGGCAAAUUUCGCAAACGGUAAACCAUUAUUAAAGGGACUUCCGAGACACAAAAAGUCACUCUGGGGCACUUUCAAAAGUAAACUGUGAAGAUUUUCUUGAAAUGGCAUGUAAUUCAUAGUCAACGCUUGUUCAAUUAGAUUAUAACUGCAUAUGACCAAUGCGAAAUGACAUGGUGAUUUCAUGGGUGGUGCUUAGUGCAGGGUACUUAAACAUUAAGUUAACCCUAUUCCAAAUACAUUUUUAAACUAUUCAAAUGAUGAAAGUUAUUGUUGUUUUUAAGCGUUUAUUAGCAAGUGGGAACGACCAACAUGGCCACAAUCUAUUCAAAUGAGGGUAACCGCUGGAAUAUUCUUGGCUUCAAUUUUACUAAAAGAGAUGCACUAUCUAGUGUAUAUAAGAUAUCUAUGGUGGCUUCCUAUUAACUGGAAGAACAAUUCGUGUGAAUCAAUGAACUACGUCAUUAAGCUCUCGGCAAAUUGGAAGGCCAUGUCAAUGAAAUUGCCAGAUUUGAUUGAAAAAAAAAGACUUGAUAGAAUUGUCAAGCUACAGCAAGCUAAAUGUAGGAGAGCUUUAUACGGGCAUGAUAACUAUGAGUUGGCCCCGGCCCGUGGGAGUUGAAAUACAAAAUGUACACUGGACACAAAAUACGAACGCAGAAAAAGGAGCAUUGUAUGGGAU
Paramuricea clavata is the source of this 1149-nucleotide non-coding RNA. The record is from the annotation of a GenBank genome assembly. NCBI's taxonomy places the organism in Eukaryota, Metazoa, Cnidaria, Anthozoa, Malacalcyonacea, Plexauridae.